Molecule: ribosomal RNA, 422 nt
Filed under: uncultured bacterium
Lineage: Bacteria
Description: bacterial SSU rRNA
Rfam family: Bacterial small subunit ribosomal RNA
Source: RNAcentral
UCUUCCGCAAUGGACGGAAGUCUGACGGAGCAACGCCCCCUGAGUGAUGAAGGUUUUCGGAUCGUAAAACUCAGUUGUUAGGGAAGAAACAGUACCGUUCGAAUAGGGCGGUACCUUGACGGUACCUAACUAGAAAGCCACGGCUAACUACGUGCCAGCAGCCGCGGUAAUACGUAGGUGGCAAGCGUUGUCCGGAAUUAUUGGGCGUAAAGCGCGCGCAGGCGGUUUCUUAAGUCUGAUGUGAAAGCCCCCGGCUCAACCGGGGAGGGUCAUUGGAAACUGGGGAACUUGAGUGCAGAAGAGGAGAGUGGAAUUCCAUGUGUAGCGGUGAAAUGCGUAGAGAUGUGGAGGAACACCAGUGGCGAAGGCGACUCUCUGGUCUGUAACUGACGCUGAGGCGCGAAAGCGUGGGGAGCGAACAG